AAACUGCAUUCUAAAGAGUACUUUAUCCCUCUCGUCGCUACAAUUAUUGCCAAUUCAAACGAACAGUAUUCGCAAAAUUUCAGUAAAUGAUGGUUGCGAAAGUGGAAGAUAGUGAACGUUUUCCUUUAUCCCUGUGACUUUUUUACGUGUUGUACUUGACAAAGUGAUUUUGGCAGCUUUAAAAUGCAGUUAAUACUAACGUUAUUUUAUAUUACGUAUUCAUUGGCUUAUGAACCACCAGCACCUGUAGUUCACACUUCCCUUGGAAACAUUCGAGGAUACCACACAUUUUCGCUUGAGGGUCGCAGAUUUUCGGCAUUUGAAGGUAUUCCUUAUGCACAGCCGCCUAUAGGACAUCUCCGAUUUGAGGUAUCCAUUCAUGGGCUUCAACUUGAUUGAGGCUUCUAAUUUUUUUACAAUUAAUAUCUCACGUUGGUGAACAGUAAUAGAAAUGGGAACUGAAAUUGAUGUUGAUUCAUGAUUCAAAUAUAGAUAUACAGGG
Long non-coding RNA from Photinus pyralis (common eastern firefly), 502 nucleotides. RefSeq lists it as uncharacterized. The record is from RefSeq and is a predicted model, not a curated record. NCBI's taxonomy places the organism in Eukaryota, Metazoa, Arthropoda, Insecta, Coleoptera, Lampyridae. The transcript is spliced from 3 exons.